Molecule: long non-coding RNA, 1745 nt
Organism: Gasterosteus aculeatus aculeatus (three-spined stickleback)
Lineage: Eukaryota; Metazoa; Chordata; Actinopteri; Perciformes; Gasterosteidae
Source: Ensembl
UAAAGAUCACACGCUUAAGAAGUUUGGACAAAAAGGAAAGAAGAGACCGGUCUGUAGGUGUUUUCUUCAGAUGGGAUAACUCUUGCCUCCUUCAGAGAGUUGGGAAAAGUCAGAUGACAGAAGAGUUAAUGAGACAGGUGAGGAAAGGAAGAAGGUCAGGAGCGAUAGAUUGUAGCAUAUGGGGUGCAAUGGGGUCAAGAGGCCAGGUGGUCGGACGGGCAGAGGUUACUACGGUAAGAAUACGGUUAGGAGACAGGGGGAGUGAAAGGAAAGUGAGGGCGAUGGAGGUAGAAGUCGGUGGGACACAAGUAAUAGGAGAUAGGUUUGAGAAAGGAGCGUAAAAUAGUUGACAAAGGUCCCGGAAGAAGGGUGGAGGGGGGAGGAGGACUCCGGCGUCAGAGAAGGUUGUGGAAGAGAGAAGAGUUUUUGGGGGUUAGAAAAAGAGGAUUCAAUUGGAUUGGUAGAAAGAGCUUUUGGGAGCGGAGACAGAAGCAGAAAAAGAGGAGAGACAAGAUUGAAACGCAAGCAGGUCAUCACGUUGUUUAUAUUAACUUCACUUUACUCCUUUCUGAUGCAUGCAUGGUGGCUCUCACAGCACGCACCGGUUGAGACAGCCACAGAGCCUGGAGGGGAUUUGCUAGUCCGUCGUGUUGUAAGAGGAGGAAAGAGUUGAGAGAAGAGUCUCUGCGUCAGUGUUCGGAGUGAGAAGGAGUCAGUUGAAGGGAGAGCUGAUAGAACAGAGGAGGGAGAGAGGGAGCGAAUGUCAGUUGAUGGGGUGGGGUCGUUAGUUCGAGGGAGCGGAAGAGAGUAGGCGAUGAAGAAGUUGUCAGACGUGAAAUGAAGUUACAGUGAGGUUAGAGGUAAAGCAGUUUCUGGGGAAGAUAUAGUCAAGGUGAUUACCGGCUUUUUGAGUAGGAGGAGAGUGGCACUAGUGCCAAAGAAGAAAGUAGGAAUAAAACGUCAGAUGACUUCUGUCUGGAUUUUAAAGUAAAGUGACAGCCGCAUGAUGCACUGCUUGGCAGUUUUCAUCCUGGAAAGAAACACAAGGCGAUUUUGAUAUUAUGGUAAGGUAGAUGGGCGUGGGCAGCACACAAGAGUCACAGGGAGGUUCUUCCGACUUGAAAAAUAAGGUAUUUAUUUAAACAUAUAUAUAUAAAAAGUGGCGCACAAGGACGGGUUGAUUCUGCAGGGAAGACUGGCCUCAGAGAGCCCCAGGUAGGAAUCUUCCAGUACUAGGGCAAAAACAGAAAAAGAUGAACAAAGACAGCGUCUUAUCCACAGUGAGCAGCCAGACGGCCUGAAUAGGCAGUUUACCACUCUGACGUCGGAACGAUCUGGCACUGAAUGGCAGGAAGACCCGGGUUCAUAUAGACCCUUUUCACGUCACGCAACUUCCGUUUUUACUCAAAGCCGGGUAAUGUUUACUUCAGCCAGCAUAGAGGAACGCUAUGGAAUAUACACCGUUCCUUCCAAAACAUGGCAAAAAUAAAUCUAGAUGAUGUACAGCGGCUGGCAGACAAAUUUUCACUCACAACACGUUCCAAACGUGAUAAAGGAUAUAAAUUCUUCAUUGAACAGUACCUGUUUGCGUAUGAAGGUAAGCAUUUUGUACUGUCCCGCCCAAAAUUACGUUAGCGGAGGAGUUAGGAUAACGGUAGUUUUUUCUUCUGCAGUGAAAGUCCAUAUUCUUUAUUAAUUUACUGUAACACAGACCUGAAAAACUCUUGUUGCAGUUAUGUUUAUUA